This 78-nucleotide transfer RNA is filed under the name Corynebacterium diphtheriae. RNAcentral describes it as "tRNA-OTHER". It matches the Rfam family "tRNA". Rfam says of the family: Transfer RNA (tRNA) molecules are approximately 80 nucleotides in length. Their secondary structure includes four short double-helical elements and three loops (D, anti-codon, and T loops). Further hydrogen bonds mediate the characteristic L-shaped molecular structure. tRNAs have two regions of fundamental functional importance: the anti-codon, which is responsible for specific mRNA codon recognition, and the 3' end, to which the tRNAs corresponding amino acid is attached (by aminoacyl-tRNA synthetases). tRNAs cope with the degeneracy of the genetic code in two manners: having more than one tRNA (with a specific anti-codon) for a particular amino acid; and 'wobble' base-pairing, i.e. permitting non-standard base-pairing at the 3rd anti-codon position. Lineage: Bacteria; Bacillati; Actinomycetota; Actinomycetes; Mycobacteriales; Corynebacteriaceae. The record is from RNAcentral.
CGGAGCAUAGCACAGCCUGGUAGUGCACUGGUUGGGAUGCCAGGGGGGUCGUAGGUUCGAAUCCUACUGCUCCGACCA